GAUGAACGCUAGCGGCAGGCUUAACACAUGCAAGUCGAGGGGUAUGCUGAUUUAUCGGCAGAGACCGGCGCACGGGUGCGUAACGCGUAUGCAAUCUACCUUUCACAGAGGAUAGCCCAGAGAAAUUUGGAUUAAUACCUCAUAGUAUAGCAGUUUCGCAUGAAACCACUAUUAAAGUUCCAACGGUGAAAGAUGAGCAUGCGUCCCAUUAGCUAGAUGGUAAGGUAACGGCUUACCAUGGCUACGAUGGGUAGGGGUCCUGAGAGGGAGACUCCCCCACACUGGUACUGAGACACGGACCAGACUCCUACGGGAGGCAGCAGUGAGGAUAUGGACAAUGGGCGCAA
RNAcentral lists this ribosomal RNA (347 nucleotides) under uncultured bacterium. RNAcentral describes it as "bacterial SSU rRNA". It matches the Rfam family "Bacterial small subunit ribosomal RNA", at positions 28 to 380 of the family's 1533-position model. The record is from RNAcentral.